This 429-nucleotide ribosomal RNA is filed under the name Chloroflexota bacterium. RNAcentral's name for it is "Chloroflexi bacterium partial 16S ribosomal RNA". It matches the Rfam family "Bacterial small subunit ribosomal RNA", at positions 355 to 776 of the family's 1533-position model. Lineage: Bacteria; Bacillati; Chloroflexota. The record is from RNAcentral.
UGGGGAAUAUUGCACAAUGGGCGCAAGCCUGAUGCAGCCAUGCCGCGUGUAUGAAGAAGGCCUUCGGGUUGUAAAGUACUUUCAGCGGGGAGGAAGGGAGUAAAGUUAAUACCUUUGCUCAUUGACGUUACCCGCAGAAGAAGCACCGGCUAACUCCGUGCCAGCAGCCGCGGUAAUACGGAGGGUGCAAGCGUUAAUCGGAAUUACUGGGCGUAAAGCGCACGCAGGCGGUUUGUUAAGUCAGAUGUGAAAUCCCCGGGCUCAACCUGGGAACUGCAUCUGAUACUGGCAAGCUUGAGUAUCGUAGAGGGGGGUAGAAUUCCAGGUGUGGCGGUGAAAUGCGUAGAGAUCUGGAGGAAUACCGGUGGCGAAGGCGGCCCCCUGGACGAAGACUGACGCUCAGGUGCGAAAGCGUGGGGAGCAAACAGG